RNAcentral lists this ribosomal RNA (464 nucleotides) under uncultured Alphaproteobacteria bacterium. RNAcentral describes it as "bacterial SSU rRNA". It matches the Rfam family "Bacterial small subunit ribosomal RNA", at positions 9 to 521 of the family's 1533-position model. The record is from RNAcentral. Lineage: Bacteria; Pseudomonadati; Pseudomonadota; Alphaproteobacteria.
GAGUUUGAUCGUGGCUCAGAACGAACGCUGGCGGCAGGCUUAACACAUGCAAGUCGAACGCCCCGCAAGGGGAGUGGCGCAAGGGUGAGAAACGCGUGGGAAUUUGCCUUUUGGUUCGGAAUAACCACAGGAAACUGUGGCUAAUACCGGAUGGUCCCUUCGGGGUAAAGAUUUAUCGCCAAAAGAUGAGCCCGCGUCAGAUUAGCUAGUUGGUGGGGUAACGGCCUACCAAGGCAACGAUCUGUAGCUGGUCUUAGAGGACGAUCAGCCACACUGGAACUGAGACACGGUCCAGACUCCUACGGGAGGCAGCAGUGGGGAAUAUUGGACAAUGGGCGCAAGCCUGAUCCAGCCAUGCCGCGUGAGUGAUGAAGGCCCUAGGGUUGUAAAGCUCUUUUAACGGGGAAGAUAAUGACGGUACCCGUAGAAUAAGCCCCGGCUAACUUCGUGCCAGCCGCCGCGGU